Molecule: ribosomal RNA, 442 nt
Filed under: uncultured bacterium
Lineage: Bacteria
Description: partial 16S ribosomal RNA
Rfam family: Bacterial small subunit ribosomal RNA
Source: RNAcentral
CCUACGGGUGGCAGCAGUGGGGAAUAUUGGGCAAUGGGCGAAAGCCUGACCCAGCAACGCCGCGUGAAGAAAGAAGGCUUUCGGGUUGUAAACUUCUUUUGACAGGGAAGAGCAGAAGACGGUACCUGUCGAAUAAGCCACGGCUAACUACGUGCCAGCAGCCGCGGUAAUACGUAGGUGGCAAGCGUUGUCCGGAUUUACUGGGUUUAACGGGCGUGUAGCCGGGCUGACAAGUUAGAGGUGAAAUCCGGGGGCUCAACCCCCGAACUGCAUUUGAAACUGUUGGUCUAGAGUAUCGGUGCGGCAGGCGGAAUUGAUGGUGUAGCGGUGAAAUGCGUAGAGAUUAUGAGGAACACCAGUGGCGAAGGCGGCCUGCUGGACGACAACUGACGGUGAGGCGCGAAAGCGUGGGGAGCAAACAGGAUUAGAUACCCGAGUAGUC